RNAcentral lists this ribosomal RNA (404 nucleotides) under Actinomycetes bacterium. RNAcentral's name for it is "Actinobacteria bacterium partial 16S ribosomal RNA". It matches the Rfam family "Bacterial small subunit ribosomal RNA", at positions 355 to 776 of the family's 1533-position model. Lineage: Bacteria; Bacillati; Actinomycetota; Actinomycetes. The record is from RNAcentral.
UGGGGAAUAUUGGACAAUGGGCGCAAGCCUGAUCCAGCCAUGCCGCGUGAGUGAUGAAGGCCCUAGGGUUGUAAAGCUCUUUCACCGGUGAAGAUAAUGACGGUAACCGGAGAAGAAGCCCCGGCUAACUUCGUGCCAGCAGCCGCGGUAAUACGAAGGGGGCUAGCGUUGUUCGGAUUUACUGGGCGUAAAGCGCACGUAGGCGGACUAUUAAGUCAGGGGUGAAAUCCCGGGGCUCAACCCCGGAACUGCCUUUGAUACUGGUAGUCUUGAGUUCGAGAGAGGUGAGUGGAAUUCCGAGUGUAGAGGUGAAAUUCGUAGAUAUUCGGAGGAACACCAGUGGCGAAGGCGGCACACUGGCUCGAUACUGACGCUGAGGUGCGAAAGCGUGGGGAGCAAACAGG